UCUAAUAUGGCAGAUUAGUGCAUUGGAUUUAAGCUCCAUAUAUAAAGUCUUAACCUUUUAUUAGAA
RNAcentral lists this transfer RNA (66 nucleotides) under Lamproblatta albipalpus. Its description in RNAcentral is "tRNA-Leu". It matches the Rfam family "tRNA". Rfam says of the family: Transfer RNA (tRNA) molecules are approximately 80 nucleotides in length. Their secondary structure includes four short double-helical elements and three loops (D, anti-codon, and T loops). Lineage: Eukaryota; Metazoa; Arthropoda; Insecta; Blattodea; Lamproblattidae. The record is from RNAcentral.